Molecule: ribosomal RNA, 384 nt
Filed under: Dromogomphus armatus
Lineage: Eukaryota; Metazoa; Arthropoda; Insecta; Odonata; Gomphidae
Description: partial 16S ribosomal RNA
Source: RNAcentral
GGCCUCUUGUUUAUAUAUGAGGUCUGACCUGCCCGGUGAAAAUUAUUUUAACGGCCGCAGUAUUUUGACUGUGCAAAGGUAGCAUAAUCAUUAGUCUUUUAAUAGGGGGCUGGUAUGAAGGGUUUGACGAGGUGUUGACUGUCUCAUUUAAUUUGUAUUUAGAAUUUAACUUUUCAGUCAAAAGGCUGAAAUUAUGUUGGAAGACGAGAAGACCCUAUAGAGCUUUAUAAUUGAUGCAUUAAUUAUUUUUUGUUAUAUCAUUUAUUAUUAUUGUUUUAAUUAUUUUGUUGGGGUGACAAAAAUAUAUAAUUAACUUUUUUAUUUAAAUUAACAUUGAUUUAUGAGUAUUAGAUCCAUUAUUAUUGAUUGUUAGAUUAAGUUACC